AACGAACGCUGGCGGCGUGCUUAACACAUGCAAGUCGAACGCGAAAGUUUUCUUCGGAAGACGAGUAGAGUGGCGCACGGGUGAGUAACGCGUGGGUAACCUACCCCUCGGCGGGGGAUAACUACUCGAAAGGGUGGCUAAUACCGCAUGAGACCACGAGGUCUUCGGACCUUGAGGCCAAAGGCUGCAUCGGCUUGCCGGUGUAGUCACCGGAGGAUGGGCCCGCGUCCGAUUAGCUAGUUGGUGAGGUAAUGGCUCACCAAGGCGACGAUCGGUAGCUGGUCUGAGAGGAUGAUCAGCCACACUGGAACUGGAACACGGUCCAGACUCCUACGGGAGGCUG
Molecule: ribosomal RNA, 343 nt
Filed under: uncultured Pseudomonadota bacterium
Lineage: Bacteria; Pseudomonadati; Pseudomonadota
Description: bacterial SSU rRNA
Rfam family: Bacterial small subunit ribosomal RNA
Source: RNAcentral